Non-coding RNA from Chiloscyllium plagiosum (whitespotted bambooshark), 148 nucleotides. The record is from RefSeq and is a predicted model, not a curated record. Lineage: Eukaryota; Metazoa; Chordata; Chondrichthyes; Orectolobiformes; Hemiscylliidae.
CGGUUGGCUCUUGAAGACCGAAGAUUAAUUUCCCCCCUGUUGCGCCAACUUUUGUCUGUUGGAAUGAGGAGUAACUGCUGGGUUUAACCCCCAGCACUUGCUGAGACUGAUCGGCUCCAGUAACUUCCAAGCAAAUCACAGAAGCACG